GGAGAGGUGGCCGAGUGGCUGAAGGCAGCGGUCUUGAAAACCGCAACGGGUGCAUGCCCGUCGUGGGUUCGAAUCCCACCCUCUCCG
RNAcentral lists this transfer RNA (87 nucleotides) under Bacillota bacterium. RNAcentral's name for it is "tRNA-Ser". It matches the Rfam family "tRNA". From Rfam's summary of the family: Transfer RNA (tRNA) molecules are approximately 80 nucleotides in length. Lineage: Bacteria; Bacillati; Bacillota. The record is from RNAcentral. RNAcentral also lists the same sequence under 1 other name.